AAUCAAAGUUUAUUAAUUCGGGAGUAAAGUUUUGUUUAAACCGAAAAAAUAUUGACUGACUUUAGAUUUUUCUUUGGAAUAUGUGUUUUUGGAGAGCCCUCUUUUUUGGUAAAUUU
This 116-nucleotide ribosomal RNA is filed under the name Dirofilaria repens. RNAcentral describes it as "partial 12S ribosomal RNA". The record is from RNAcentral. Lineage: Eukaryota; Metazoa; Nematoda; Chromadorea; Rhabditida; Onchocercidae.